UCAGUUUUAUUAUAUAUCUAUUAUAUUAAAUUUCCACUUUAAAGAUCCAAACGGAAACUGAA
RNAcentral lists this transfer RNA (62 nucleotides) under Isodiametra pulchra. RNAcentral's name for it is "tRNA-Gly". Lineage: Eukaryota; Metazoa; Xenacoelomorpha; Acoela; Isodiametridae. The record is from RNAcentral.